GACAGGAGAACCUCAGGAAAGAUACAGCCUGACUGCUGGGAGUCCAGCUGUUAAUGGGAGGAAGGAGGAGACUGAAAUUCACUAAUGAAUUAUCUGCUCUGUCUGAAAAGAAAUGGAGACGUUGCUUCAGGUUGGGAAGCCAUGCUUCAAAAUCUCUCUGCUCAGCUGCAGAGUGGAGAUAUCUGGGAAUGCCCAAGGUACCAGGCCAGUGCUGGACCUCUUUGCACAGCCGAAACCUUUGAAUUCACCUGCAAGCAGAGGUGCCACAUUUCAGCACUUCAGGAGAGUUGAUCUAGAAAGUGGUAUUAAAGGGAAGAGUGAGAGUA
This is a long non-coding RNA of Pseudopipra pipra, 326 nucleotides long. RefSeq lists it as uncharacterized. The record is from RefSeq and is a predicted model, not a curated record. The transcript has 2 exons. Lineage: Eukaryota; Metazoa; Chordata; Aves; Passeriformes; Pipridae.